Molecule: ribosomal RNA, 253 nt
Filed under: uncultured bacterium
Lineage: Bacteria
Description: partial 16S ribosomal RNA
Rfam family: Bacterial small subunit ribosomal RNA
Source: RNAcentral
UACGAAGGGGGCGAGCGUUGUUCGGAGUUACUGGGCGUAAAGGGCGCGUAGGCGGCGCGCCAAGUUAGGCGUGAAAGCCCCGGGCUCAACCUGGGAAUAGCGCUUAAGACUGGAGUGCUCGAGUGCGGAAGAGGUGAGUGGAAUUCCCAGUGUAGAGGUGAAAUUCGUAGAUAUUGGGAAGAACACCAGUGGCGAAGGCGGCUCACUGGUCCGCAACUGACGCUGAGGCGCGAAAGCGUGGGGAGCAAACAGG